Molecule: long non-coding RNA, 1681 nt
Organism: Chloebia gouldiae (Gouldian finch)
Lineage: Eukaryota; Metazoa; Chordata; Aves; Passeriformes; Passeridae
Source: Ensembl
GGGUUUGUGGGGUCCUGGUGGGGUCACUGGAGGCCCCUGGAAGGGUCCGGAGGGGGUCCUGGGGAGGUUUUGGGGGAGUCCUGGGUGGGUCCUGGGGAGGUUCUGAAGGGUCCCUGGGGGUCCUGGGGGGUCCCUGGGGGAUUUUGGGGGGUCCCAAGGAGUUUUGGGGAUCCCAGGGAGAUUUGGGGGUCCCAGGCAGGUUUGGGGGGUCCUAAUGGAGGUUUGGGGGGUCCCAGGGAGGUUUGGGGGUCCCAGGGAGGGGCGUGGUCUAUGCAGGGAGGGGGCGUGGCCAAAGGCGAUCCACAGAGACCCCCCCAUUACCCACAAUGCCCUGGGGUGAUCCCUAACCCCGCCCCCUCAUUGGUGAUGACAUCAUUAGCCACACUGAUGACGUCACUCGUCAUGUUGACACGGCCGUGGUGAGGUCACUGGACACGCCCACCCCAUCGGUGACGCCAUCGGCCACGCCCACCCUGUCAGCGAUGUCAUUGGACACAUUGAUGAUGUCAUUGGCCACGCCCACCCUGUCAGCGAUGUCAUUGGCCACACCGAUGAUGUCAUUGGCCACGCCCACCCUGUCAGCGAUGUCAUUGGACACACUGAUGAUGUCAUUGGCCACGCCCACCCUGUCAGCGAUGUCAUUGGACACACCGAUGAUGUCAUUGGCCACGCCCACCCUGUCAGCGACGUCAUUGGCCACAAUAAUGAUGCCACUGGGCUGGGAGGGGCCUUGUGCAGGGGGCGUGUCCCAGGUGGGCGUGUCCCAGGUGGGCGUGUCCAUUGGGCGUGUCCAGGUGGGCGUGUCCCAGGUGGGCGUGUCCAUUGGGUGUGUCCAGUGGGCGUGUCCAGUGGCUUUGUCCAAUAAACACAUCCCAGGAGGCCAUGUCCAUUGGGUGUGUCCAUUGGGUGUGACUGUUGGGCGUGUCCAUUGGGUGUGUCCCAGGUGGGCGUGUCCAUUGGGUGUGUCUAUGUCCAUUGGGUGUGUCCCUUGGGCGUGUCCAGUGGCUUUGUCCAAUAAACACGUCCCAUGUGGGCGUGUCCCAGGUGGGUGUGUCUGUUGGGCGUGUCCUGUGGGUGUGUCCAUUGGGUGUGUCACAGGUGGGCACGUCCCUGGUGGGCGUGUCAAUGGGCACCUCCAUUGGGCGUGUCCCAGGUGGGCGUGUCCAUUUGGCGUGUCCCAAGUGGGUGUGCCCAUUGGGCGUGUCCAGUGGGCGUGUCCAGUGGGUUUGUCCAAUAAACAUGUCCCAGGUGGGCGUGUCCACUGGAUGUGUCUAUGUCCAUUGGGUGUGUCCAGUGGGUGUGUCCCAGAUGGGUGUGUUCCGAGUGGGCGUGUCCCAGGUGGGUGUGUCCAUUAGGCAUGUCUAUUGGCUGUGUCCAUUGGGUGUGUCCAGUGGGAGUGUCCAUUGGGCCUGUCCAUUGGGUGUGUCCAUUGAGCCUAUCCCAGAUGGGUGUGUCCAUUGGGCGUGUCCAUUGGGUGUGUCCAUUGGGCGUGUCCAUUGGGUGUGUCCAUUGGGUGUGUCCAUUGGGCGUGUCCAGUGGGAGUGUCCAUUGGGCGUGUCCAUUGGGUGUGUCCAUUGAGCCUAUCCCAGAUGGCUGUGUCCAUUGGGUGUGUCCAUUGGGCGUGUCCAUGGGCGUGUCCAGUGGUUUUGUCCAAUAAACACGUCCUAGGUGGGCGUGUCCA